RNAcentral lists this long non-coding RNA (476 nucleotides) under Homo sapiens (human). RNAcentral describes it as "HSALNT0210167". The record is from RNAcentral. Lineage: Eukaryota; Metazoa; Chordata; Mammalia; Primates; Hominidae.
CUCAGGUGGAGAAGUCAUGUUAAGCAACUUGCAAUACCGGGGACUGAAGAAAGCUGAGAACCUGACAGCUCCAUGUUUCAAUUUGGAAAAUGAUAGAUGAAGAAGUUUCAACAUCGGGACCAUAAUUCAAUUCUCUCCUAACUACUGAUUACAAUUGUGGUGGAGAAAAAGGUGUUCCUGGAGAAAGAAAGAAGACCAGAUAUUAGAGUGGGAAAGAAAAGAACAUUGAAUUAAAACAAACGGUGAGUAAAGCCCUGAUCCUACGUCAACCUAAUCACAUAGUAAAACAAGAUGAGAAAAUGACAGACUUUACAAUAACAGUAUAGUGAUUUGAGUAUUGAAUUUUAAAUUUCUGAUUAUCUGAAUAUAUUUAAUUCUUUAUACUUUCAUAAUUUAUGUAGAGAGACUUCAUUUUUAAAAACUGUUCUAUGCAAUUCAGAUGUAUCUUAAUUCCCGUCAUUGAUAAGACAAAAAAC